Molecule: long non-coding RNA, 1406 nt
Organism: Xiphophorus couchianus (Monterrey platyfish)
Lineage: Eukaryota; Metazoa; Chordata; Actinopteri; Cyprinodontiformes; Poeciliidae
Exons: 2
Source: RefSeq, a predicted model, not a curated record
UGGCAACGGGUCGGUCACAGAGAGAGAAAGAAAAAAGACAGAAUACCCGUUGUUUUAAGUUAUUCUUCAACGGGCUUUCAGCAUUAAGCGCUAAAUUAACAACACCUACGUCUCCAGGUUUCGUUUUGUGAGCGGACUACACACUUCCGGUUACAUUUCUAACGACAGCAGUCUUGGCAGGCGGUUACACGGAGUUGCUAUGACAACAAUGAACAAACCGCAAACUAGCUCUCGCCUCGUUCCUUAUAAACACUCAGCCAGAUGGAGGGAAGUCAGCGCUGGAAGACUCAUGAAAUCCCAGCAAUUUGAGAGUGCACCCCAAGGAAUCUCAUUAAAGCAGCUCCACACGUCAAUGAUGCGGCCCCGCUCUGCUGUUUUUCUUACUGAGCAGGAGCUGUCCAUGACGGAUUAACUGGAUAAUGGUAUUGGUUUCACAUCAGCACUGCAGCAGGAACACCACAGUGGAUGUACCAGGAUACCCCGGCUCUUCCCUCUGCCUCCUGCUUCUCAGCUAAGUAAUUAUUCCUUAAGCCCACCUACCCAGGCAAACAAAAAUAAAAUUGAUUUCCCAUUAUGUGAGGCAUUGCUCCUGCUGUGGAGGUCCUGUAAGGGUGACCAAGCAGGUGCAAACAUGUCUAACCUGCGCGUCCUCGGCUGGUGUGUCGGAUUGCACGCUGCAGCCCUCUGGAGAAAACACCACCUAACACCAUUUCUCCACACAACAGUCGUUCAGGCUCAUAGUGACAGAGCGAAAGCUGAAUGUUCACAAUGGCACACUGCUGCUUUAAUUGAAAAAGACUUCCUGCUCUUACAGUUUAUCCCUAACUGAAUCUUCUCCAGUCUUUGACUUCGUUUCAGACUAAAUACAUCAAAGGAUGAUGAUGCUGGAUGAUUUUGCAUAUUUAGAUCCCAGAUCACUCAGUAAAUUAAUGCACAAUGUCAGAAAAGUAUUUUGGGAAGUGUUUUUAUGUUGUUAAGAAAGGGGCGGAUGCUCAAACUUUCCUUGAUUAUGCUGCUCCUAAUUGGCUUGCAGUGUGGGAUACACAAGAGCACAACACACACACACCUUAAAGGACUGACCUUCAGGAAGAAAGUCAUAUUUUUCACUUGAAGCAAAUACGGACUCUGCUGCAUCAAUAUUUGGUCCCUUUACAUCAUGAAACAUAAAAGCUGCUGGACUGUUUUGAGUGCAGGAAGGAUGAUUCUUCCUGUAAACAGAAGGGCCCUGUCAAAACAAUAAAUGAAUAACAUACUCUUAUGAUAAAAAUAAGUUUAUUCAUGAAAAGCUUUCAUUCAACGUACUGAACGGUUACAAGGAAAUUAGAGACAAAAUAAGACAGAUAAAACAGUAAGAAAGUUCUGGUGUGUUAAUUAAAAAGUCUAAUUAUUGGUUAAAAAAGAUACAA